CCCCUGCCGGAAGAAGUUUGGGUGCAGCCCAGUAUUCAAGCUCCAGGACAAAGGGGGCGGGGAGGCCGCCACUAGCAAACAACCUCAGCUUCAUAAAUCCAGCAGAAAGGUCCGGGGUAUUGUUGAAAAGGUCGGAAGGACCAAGAUUAUGUCCGCCAGCCUAAGUGGGACGAACAACCAAGUUGUGCGAUGCAGCUUUAAAGGGGCUGGUGAUUGACAGAAUGGUGUAGUAGUAGAUGGGGUGGAGCCGCUGGGUGGGGUCGAGACUGGCAGCUGAGAGAUACCAAAAGGAAGAAAAAAGAAAACCAUUGCUCUUGAUAUUGCUAAUGCCGGGGGAGGUAAGCUAACGAGAAAGUAGGGAAAAGGAAGGUUUUAGAGUUCACCUCCACUCCUUCCCCUGGCUAACACUCUUUACACUCUUCUGCCUUCCCUUGAGAUAAUUAAAAUAGACUGUACACCGGCCCUAGUCGGUGCCCAUUCCCCCUAACUCUUCACUCAACUACGUGUGUAGUCCGAGGGAGUGAGGACCCCGGGUCCAAGAGCUCAAUCCCGGCCCCGCCCCGUCGGCCCAGGCCCCGGGGCUGGGAGGAGAGGAUGCCUUCGGAGGCGCAGAAUCCGAAAAAGCUGGGCAGAGAAAUCGAGCUGCAAAAUGACCUACAGAUAUUACAGUUUUAUUCUUGGAAAAUGGAGGUUGUCUAUUAGUGUGAUGGUAACAACCAACUAAUAAAAUUUGGAGACUAGACUGCU
This 747-nucleotide long non-coding RNA is filed under the name Homo sapiens (human). RNAcentral describes it as "HSALNT0407642". Lineage: Eukaryota; Metazoa; Chordata; Mammalia; Primates; Hominidae. The record is from RNAcentral.